Molecule: ribosomal RNA, 497 nt
Filed under: uncultured bacterium
Lineage: Bacteria
Description: partial 16S ribosomal RNA
Rfam family: Bacterial small subunit ribosomal RNA
Source: RNAcentral
GAUGAACGCUGGCGGCGUGCCUAAUACAUGCAAGUCGAGCGAACGGACGAGAAGCUUGCUUCUUUGAUGUUAGCGGCGGACGGGUGAGUAACACGUGGAUAACCUACCUAUAAGACUGGGAUAACUUCGGGAAACCGGAGCUAAUACCGGAGAAUAUUUUGAACCGCAUGGUUCAAAAGUGAAAGACGGUCUUUCUGUAACUUCUAGAUGGAUCCGCGCUGCAUUAGCUAGUUGGUAAGGUAACGGGUUACCAAGGCAACGAUGCAUAGCCGACCUGAGAGAGUGAUCGGCGACCCUGGAGCUGAGCCACGGACCAGACUCCUACGGGAGGCAGCAGUAGGGAAUCUUCCGCAAUGGGCGAGAGCCUGACGGAGCAACGCCGCGUGAGUGAUGAAAGUCUUCGGAUCGGAAAACUCUGUUAUUAGGGAAGAACAUAUGUGUAAGUAACUGUGCACAGCUUGACGGUACCUAAUCAGAAAGCCACGGCUAACUACGUG